Molecule: ribosomal RNA, 837 nt
Filed under: Fictibacillus halophilus
Lineage: Bacteria; Bacillati; Bacillota; Bacilli; Caryophanales; Fictibacillaceae
Description: bacterial SSU rRNA
Rfam family: Bacterial small subunit ribosomal RNA
Source: RNAcentral
ACGUGGGUAAUCUGCCUGUAAGACGGGGAUAACUCCGGGAAACCGGGGCUAAUACCGGAUAACAAGAGAAGAAGCAUUUCUUCUUUUUGAAAGUCGGUUUCGGCUGACACUUACAGAUGAGCCCGCGGCGCAUUAGCUAGUUGGUGAGGUAACGGCUCACCAAGGCGACGAUGCGUAGCCGACCUGAGAGGGUGAUCGGCCACACUGGGACUGAGACACGGCCCAGACUCCUACGGGAGGCAGCAGUAGGGAAUCUUCGGCAAUGGGCGAAAGCCUGACCGAGCAACGCCGCGUGAGCGAUGAAGGCCUUCGGGUCGUAAAGCUCUGUUGUUAGAGAAGAACAAGUACGAGAGUAACUGCUCGUACCUUGACGGUACCUAACCAGAAAGCCACGGCUAACUACGUGCCAGCAGCCGCGGUAAUACGUAGGUGGCAAGCGUUAUCCGGAAUUAUUGGGCGUAAAGCGCGCGCAGGCGGUCUCUUAAGUCUGAUGUGAAAGCCCACGGCUCAACCGUGGAGGGUCAUUGGAAACUGGGAGACUUGAGUGCAGGAGAGAAAAGUGGAAUUCCACGUGUAGCGGUGAAAUGCGUAGAGAUGUGGAGGAACACCAGUGGCGAAGGCGGCUUUUUGGCCUGUAACUGACGCUGAGGCGCGAAAGCGUGGGGAGCAAACAGGAUUAGAUACCCUGGUAGUCCACGCCGUAAACGAUGAGUGCUAGGUGUUGGGGGGUUCCACCCUCAGUGCUGAAGUUAACACAUUAAGCACUCCGCCUGGGGAGUACGACCGCAAGGUUGAAACUCAAAGGAAUUGACGGGGGCCCGCACAAGCAGUGGAGCA